GUCUUGUACACACCGCCCGUCACACCACGAGAGUUUACAACACCCGAAGUCAGUGGCCUAACCGCAAGGAGGGAGCUGCCUAAGGUGGGGUANAUGAUUGGGGUGAAGUCGUAACAAGGUACC
RNAcentral lists this ribosomal RNA (123 nucleotides) under uncultured bacterium. RNAcentral describes it as "partial 16S ribosomal RNA". It matches the Rfam family "Bacterial small subunit ribosomal RNA", at positions 1378 to 1500 of the family's 1533-position model. The record is from RNAcentral.